RNAcentral lists this long non-coding RNA (2258 nucleotides) under Capra hircus (goat). RNAcentral describes it as "lncRNA (ENSCHIG00010004669.1)". The record is from RNAcentral. Lineage: Eukaryota; Metazoa; Chordata; Mammalia; Artiodactyla; Bovidae.
AUGUACCUGUGGCAUUUCUACCAACCAGUACAAAGAGAAGCUUCUGGAUAUAAUUCCUCAGGGACAUUCGUUUAUCAAUCCAGCUUGCCCAAGAUUUUAGAGAGACAUCAAUGUAUUCCCUGCAGCCACAGUUCAGUCUCCAAGAAGCUGUCUGACACUAGGCCAACACCUCGCUCUGGGCCUCAGUUUCCCUGUCCUGAAAGUGAAAAGAAUGGGCUUAGUGACCCAACAUGCUCUCCAUCCUUGGAACCCUCUGUUUGCUUUUCUCCCUUCCUGCUCCCAACCCACUGGCAUGUCUGCUCCUCACGCAGGGAACAAAGCCACAGUGUUUCAAUGGAGCCUGGUCCAUGGUUGGUCUCAGUCCCGGGGGCCAAGAGGCCCAGUUGGAUUUCACUGAAGGGAAAUCAGAACCCUGUAAGGCCUGCCAUGCCCAUGCCUUCUGGAAAGUGUUUGCAAAGCCUGAAUUCCCAGCCCACACACUGGGGCAAGCCAUCCUCCCUUUGAAACCUAAGCAAGUUUCAGGAAGAGCCAUUUACCUGUCACAUGGUUUUCAUAAUUUCCCUGGCACCUUCGCUAAUCAUUGAAGUGGGUGUUGGCAGGCGGAGGGUGACCUCUGGGUCUGACGCGGACGUGCUGGACCGCAGCUCACUUGGAGGAGAAGACCUGGAGCUGAGAUCUUACAGGGCCCUCCUGAGGGUGUCCAGCUACAGGGAUCUGCUCAUGAACAUCGGGGGGUCCUGCAGAAGUCCAAGAAGCAAGCUGAAUCGCAGGAGGUGAAGUGGAUGUUGCCUUGGAAAACUGAGUCAGUUAGCAUCUGUGAGGCCAGCCCAUGGGGUGGAGGGAAGGGUGGAGGGUUGUGGUGCCGUCAGAAGAUGCUGAGCAGCUCAGGACUUGACAGGGAUGCAAAGCACCGGGUAGGUCUGUAUACUCUCGAAAAUUAUACUUCUUCUUCCCUUCUCUCAACAGAGAUUACUGUGUGAGCUGUACCAGGUACUAGGGGUACAGGGUAGGGCAUCCAUCCAGUCCUUCCCUGCCCGGAAAGAUGGACUGACAGGAGAUGUGCCUUGUGGUUUCAACUGUAGACAUUCAGAAGGGGAGAUAAGCAUGGCCCUGGGUGACAACCAGGAGGGCUUUCUGGAGGUGGUGACAUCUAGUUUCCAGACAAACUAGGUAAGGCCCAAAGAGAAAUAAUGGCUCCGGAGCACUAGUGGAAAAAGCUUGGACUUUGAACCAAAUGGACCUAGUUUCAAGCUGACUCUCUGAGCCUUUGUUUUCUCAUCAAUAAAAUGGAAACUACUAUGACAGUUUAAGAGAUUAAAUGAGUUAGGGAGGAAAUAUGCCUGGUUCGAAGUGGUGUCUCCUGAAAUGGUUGGUUGGUAGAGGUCAGGGUUCAGGGGUUAAUACAGAGUCUGGGGAGAAAGCCUCCAGUACUGCUUCCUCCUCAGCUUUGAAUGGACUCCUCCCACCUACCCUUGUGACCAAGGUCGGGGAGGUAGGCUCCGGGCCAGUAACCAGGUCCUGGUGGCUUCUUGCCCUGAGCUCCCUGAGGGUGUCAGUAUAACAGGCUUCUGCGGGCCCAGCGAAUUUCCACAAGUCAGGAGGGCCUCACUCUGAGGCUCACACCUCUGGAACUUGAGCCGUUGGCCAAGUUCAGGCAGUGCGAGGGGAAGGUAAGUGCUGUGUCAGCUGGAUUUGGUGGGGAAAUGGGCCUCCAGGGUGGAAAAGAAAAAUAAAGAAAAGGAUUCCUGCUGGAGCUUGCUUGUAGAAAAAGGGAGUUCUAAAGGUUCCCCUCCUGCCUCCGCUGCCUUAGGUCUUUACUGGAGAACUAGCUUCAGAAUCUGGGCCAGCAAAGAUCACUUCCUCCAGGAAGCCUUCUUGGAUGGCCCAGUCCCUUUUGAGCUCUCAUUCUUUUGACCUUGCGGAUUUGAGUGUGGUUUUGGGUACUCACCCUCACAGGCCGAGUACUUGGCGCACAACCCAGGCAUAUUUUGACUCAGAUUGAAAGCUUCCACCAGAAAAGAAAAAGAUAGAGAGGAGAAAAUUCACAUUUAUUAAGCCCCUUACUGUCUAUCUCACCCUGGGCUGUGCAUUUUUUAUGUCACCUCACUUAAAUGUUGCAACAACCUUUCAAGGUAGGGAUCACUCUCCAUUUUAUGUAUGAAGAGCUGCUAAGUCGCUUCAGUCAUGUCUGACUCUGUGUGAUCCCAAAGAUGACAGCCCACCAGGCUCCCCCGUCCCUGGGAUUCUCCAGGCAAGAA